Molecule: ribosomal RNA, 412 nt
Filed under: uncultured bacterium
Lineage: Bacteria
Description: bacterial SSU rRNA
Rfam family: Bacterial small subunit ribosomal RNA
Source: RNAcentral
GUGUCAGCCGCCGCGGUAAUACGUAGGUGGCAAGCGUUGUCCGGAAUUACUGGGUGUAAAGGGAGCGCAGGCGGGACUGCAAGUUGGAUGUGAAAUACCGAGGCUUAACCUCGGAGCUGCAUCCAAAACUGUGGUUCUUGAGUGGAGUAGAGGUAAGCGGAAUUCCGAGUGUAGCGGUGAAAUGCGUAGAUAUUCGGAGGAACACCAGUGGCGAAGGCGGCUUACUGGGCUCUAACUGACGCUGAGGCUCGAAAGCGUGGGGAGCAAACAGGAUUAGAUACCCUGGUAGUCCACGCUGUAAACGAUGAUUACUAGGUGUGGGGGGUCUGACCCCUUCCGUGCCGCAGUUAACGCAAUAAGUAAUCCACCUGGGGAGUACGACCGCAAGGUUGAAACUCAAAGAAAUUGGCGG